Molecule: ribosomal RNA, 497 nt
Filed under: uncultured bacterium
Lineage: Bacteria
Description: partial 16S ribosomal RNA
Rfam family: Bacterial small subunit ribosomal RNA
Source: RNAcentral
GAUGAACGCUGGCGGCGUGCCUAAUACAUGCAAGUCGAGCGAACGGACGAGAAGCUUGCUUCUCUGAUGUUAGCGGCGGACGGGUGAGUAACACGUGGAUAACCUACCUAUAAGACUGGGAUAACUUCGGGAAACCGGAGCUAAUACCGGAUAAUAUUUUGAACCGCAUGGUUCAAAAGUGAAAGACGGUCUUGCUGUCACUUAUAGAUGGAUCCCGGCUGCAUUAGCUAGUUGGUAAGGUAACGGCUUACCAAGGCAACGAGGCAUAGCCGACCUGAGAGGGUGAUCGGCCACACUGGAACGGAGACACGGUCCAGACUCCUACGGGAGGCAGCAGUAGGGAAUCUUCCGCAAUGGGCGAAAGCCUGACGGAGCAACGCCGCGUGAGUGAUGAAGGUCUUCGGAUCGUAAAACUCUGUUAUUAGGGAAGAACAUAUGUGUAAGGAACUGUGCACAUCUUGACGGUACCUAAUCAGAAAGCCACGGCUAACUACGUG